Molecule: small nuclear RNA, 134 nt
Organism: Nycticebus coucang (slow loris)
Lineage: Eukaryota; Metazoa; Chordata; Mammalia; Primates; Lorisidae
Product: U11 spliceosomal RNA
Exons: 1
Source: RefSeq, a predicted model, not a curated record
AAAAAGUGCUUCUGUCGUGAUUUGCACACACGGGGCAACUCAAUUGCUCUUCAUGCAGAAUCGACAUCAAGAGAUUUCAGAAGCACAAUUUUUUGGAACCUGGGCAGCUGGUGAUCGUUAGUCCCAGCACCGGU